AACGCGAAGAACCUUACCAGCCCUUGACAUCCCGAUCGCGGUUUCCAGAGAUGGAUUCCUUCAGUUAGGCUGGAUCGGUGACAGGUGCUGCAUGGCUGUCGUCAGCUCGUGUCGUGAGACGUUGGGUUAAGUCCCGCAACGAGCGCAACCCUCGCCCUUAGUUGCCAGCAUUAAGUUGGGCACUCUAAGGGGACUGCCGGUGAUAAGCCGAGAGGAAGGUGGGGAUGACGUCAAGUCCUCAUGGCCCUUACGGGCUGGGCUACACACGUGCUACAAUGGUGGUGACAGUGGGCAGCGAGACCGCGAGGUCGAGCUAAUCUCCAAAAACCAUCUCAGUUCGGAUUGCACUCUGCAACUCGAGUGCAUGAAGUUGGAAUCGCUAGUAAUCGCGGAUCAGCAUGCCGCGGUGAAUACGCUCCCGGGUCUUGUACACACGC
RNAcentral lists this ribosomal RNA (437 nucleotides) under uncultured bacterium. Its description in RNAcentral is "bacterial SSU rRNA". It matches the Rfam family "Bacterial small subunit ribosomal RNA", at positions 958 to 1393 of the family's 1533-position model. The record is from RNAcentral.